This 497-nucleotide ribosomal RNA is filed under the name uncultured bacterium. RNAcentral's name for it is "partial 16S ribosomal RNA". It matches the Rfam family "Bacterial small subunit ribosomal RNA", at positions 28 to 507 of the family's 1533-position model. The record is from RNAcentral.
GAUGAACGCUGGCGGCGUGCCUAAUACAUGCAAGUCGAGCGAACGGACGCGAAGCUUGCUUCUCUGAUGUUAGCGGCGGACGGGUGAGUAACACGUGGAUAACCUACCUAUAAGACUGGGAUAACUUCGGGAAACCGGAGCUAAUACCGGAUGAUAUUUUGAACCGCAUGGUUCAAAAGUGAAAGACGGUCUUGCUGUCACUUAUAGAUGGAUCCGCGCUGCAUUAGCUAGUUGGUAAGGUAACGGCUUACCAAGGCAACGAUGCAUAGCCGACCUGAGAGGGUGAUCGGCCACACUGGAACUGAGACACGGUCCAGACUCCUACGGGAGGCAGCAGUAGGGAAUCUUCCGCAAUGGGCGAAAGCCUGACGGAGCAACGCCGCGUGAGUGAUGAAGGUCUUCGGAUCGUAAAACUCUGUUAUUAGGGAAGAACAUAUGUGUAAGUAACUGUGCACAUCUUGACGGUACCUAAUCAGAAAGCCACGGCUAACUACGUG